Molecule: ribosomal RNA, 492 nt
Filed under: uncultured bacterium
Lineage: Bacteria
Description: partial 16S ribosomal RNA
Rfam family: Bacterial small subunit ribosomal RNA
Source: RNAcentral
AGUGAACGCUGGCGGUAGGCCUAACACAUGCAAGUCGAACGGCAGCACAGUAAGAGCUUGCUCUUACGGGUGGCGAGUGGCGGACGGGUGAGGAAUACAUCGGAAUCUACUUUUUCGUGGGGGAUAACGUAGGGAAACUUACGCUAAUACCGCAUACGACCUACGGGUGAAAGCAGGGGAUCUUCGGACCUUGCGCGAUUGAAUGAGCCGAUGUCGGAUUAGCUAGUUGGCGGGGUAAAGGCCCACCAAGGCGACGAUCCGUAGCUGGUCUGAGAGGAUGAUCAGCCACACUGGAACUGAGACACGGUCCAGACUCCUACGGGAGGCAGCAGUGGGGAAUAUUGGACAAUGGGCGCAAGCCUGAUCCAGCCAUACCGCGUGGGUGAAGAAGGCCUUCGGGUUGUAAAGCCCUUUUGUUGGGAAAGAAAAGCAGCGGGUUAAUAUCCCGCUGUUCUGACGGUACCCAAAGAAUAAGCACCGGCUAACUUCGUG